GAUGAACGCUGGCGGCGUGCCUAAUACAUGCAAGUCGAGCGAACAGACGAGGAGCUUGCUCCUCUGACGUUAGCGGCGGACGGGUGAGUAACACGUGGAUAACCUUCCUAUAAGACUGGGAUAACUUCGGGAAACCGGAGCUAAUACCGGAUAAUAUAUUGAACCGCAUGGUUCAAUAGUGAAAGACGGUUUUGCUGUCACUUAUAGAUGGAUCCGCGCCGCAUUAGCUAGUUGGUAAGGUAACGGCUUACCAAGGCAACGAUGCGUAGCCGACCUGAGAGAGUGAUCGGCCACACUGGAACUGAGACACGGUCCAGACUCCUACGGGAGGCAGCAGUAGGGAAUCUUCCGCAAUGGGCGAAAGCCUGACGGAGCAACGCCGCGUGAGUGAUGAAGGUCUUCGGAUCGUAAAACUCUGUUAUUAGGGAAGAACAAAUGUGUAAGUAACUAUGCACGUCUUGACGGUACCUAAUCAGAAAGCCACGGCUAACUACGUG
RNAcentral lists this ribosomal RNA (497 nucleotides) under uncultured bacterium. RNAcentral's name for it is "partial 16S ribosomal RNA". It matches the Rfam family "Bacterial small subunit ribosomal RNA", at positions 28 to 507 of the family's 1533-position model. The record is from RNAcentral.